GACGAACGCUGGCGGCGUGCUUAACACAUGCAAGUCGAACGGAAAGGCCCUGCUUGCAGGGUACUCGAGUGGCGAACGGGUGAGUAACACGUGGGUGAUCUGCCCUGCUCUUCGGGAUAAGCCUGGGAAACUGGGUCUAAUACCGGAUAUGACCUUCCAUGUAGUGUGGGGGGUGGAAAGAUUUAUCGGUGUGGGAUGAGCCCGCGGCCUAUCAGCUUGUUGGUGGGGUAAUGGCCUACCAAGGCGUCGACGGGUAGCCGGCCUGAGAGGGUGGACGGCCACAUUGGGACUGAGAUACGGCCCAGACUCCUACGGGAGGCAGCAGUGGGGAAUAUUGCACAAUGGGCGGAAGCCUGAUGCAGCGACGCCGCGUGGGGGAUGACGGCCCUCGGGUUGUAAACCUCUUUCGACAGGGACGAAGCUUCGGUGACGGUACCUGUAUAAGAAGCACCGGCUAACUACGUG
RNAcentral lists this ribosomal RNA (465 nucleotides) under uncultured bacterium. RNAcentral describes it as "partial 16S ribosomal RNA". It matches the Rfam family "Bacterial small subunit ribosomal RNA", at positions 28 to 507 of the family's 1533-position model. The record is from RNAcentral.